AGUAACGCGUGGGUAACCUGCCUCAUACAGGGGGAUAACAGUUAGAAAUGACUGCUAAUACCGCAUAAGCGCACGGGAUCGCAUGAUCCAGUGUGAAAAACUGAGGUGGUAUGAGAUGGACCCGCGUCUGAUUAGCUAGUUGGUGAGGUAACGGCCCACCAAGGCGACGAUCAGUAGCCGACCUGAGAGGGUGGACGGCCACAUUGGGACUGAGACACGGCCCAG
RNAcentral lists this ribosomal RNA (225 nucleotides) under uncultured Bacillota bacterium. RNAcentral describes it as "uncultured Firmicutes bacterium partial 16S ribosomal RNA". It matches the Rfam family "Bacterial small subunit ribosomal RNA", at positions 109 to 334 of the family's 1533-position model. The record is from RNAcentral. Lineage: Bacteria; Bacillati; Bacillota.